This is a long non-coding RNA of Thrips palmi, 508 nucleotides long. RefSeq lists it as uncharacterized. The transcript is spliced from 4 exons. The record is from RefSeq and is a predicted model, not a curated record. NCBI's taxonomy places the organism in Eukaryota, Metazoa, Arthropoda, Insecta, Thysanoptera, Thripidae.
GGAUGCUGAAGAAUGGGGACGUCACACUGGCCGAUUUUGUGGUUGGUUUCACAAACCGGAAGUUCAUGCUGUGCUGUUUCUGCUGAAGUAUGCUGUUGAGCCUGUGCUACGGUUGAAGUGUCCGUAUUUCUUGGGUGAUAAUUCGUUCGAGAAAACUUCUUGAUACGCAGUUCGAUGUGGGCCAGGUUUUCGGUUUGGGGUUUUUUGCUCUGCGGCGCUGACGGAGCUCGUCGCCUGCGGAAGUCUAGGAGUACUGGAAGGAGAUCUACAUAAAUUUGUGAGCAUGAGCAAGCAAUACAUUCUGUGAAGGCCUGAGACUGGGGCAUUUGCCAAACUACUUUCGGUGCUUCCUGUCUGUGUGCCGCUCUAUUUAUCUACCUGCCUUGACUUUUCACCGAAAGUGGUUAUGAGAUCGAUGUUGUUUGCCAGAAUGUUCAAAAAACUUUUCCCUGGACAAAAAUUUUAUCAUGGGUCAACCUAUUGAAAGACAAGCCGCCGUGGAUAUUGG